UUCCUUUCCACGAUCAGCAACUGUAUACCCCAAAGUAUGUCCUGGCUUUGUGUAUUUGGGAAUAGCUGUCCUGAUUGGAAAGGCUGGGGACUUUGCCCUUAAAUAUUGCGGUUUUGCUCCCAUGCAGAUUUUAAUUUUCAGUUCUCUUUACCGCCAUGCUGUGGAAUGGGUAGUCCACUAUCCACAUGGCAGGCCAAGGGAGGACAGGCAGAACAGAGCUGAACUGGAUCCUCCCAUUGCAUGUUGGUAUCCAUGACAACUGCUCCUUCUGUGCUCUCAGGAAUUGCUCAAACUAUCCUCCUGCACCAGAGCCCCCCUUGCUGGGACUGCCCGCCUUGCUGGGGGUCUGAGGGGGCCAAAGGGCUGUAGUACGUGUCCUGAACACACAUGGGAUGAGCCAGGGGUGGCACACAGGUGAGAUGCUCCAGAGGAAAAUUCACAUAGUGUCUUCAGCAUUCUGGCAUAAGUGGCGAUAGACAGACAUUCCACAGGGUGA
Non-coding RNA from Taeniopygia guttata (zebra finch), 496 nucleotides. The record is from RefSeq and is a predicted model, not a curated record. NCBI's taxonomy places the organism in Eukaryota, Metazoa, Chordata, Aves, Passeriformes, Estrildidae.